GUUUCAUGAGCUGAGUUGGUAGAGCAUGGCGCUUGCAACGCCAGUGUUGUGGGUUCGAUUCCAACAGGGGACC
This 73-nucleotide transfer RNA is filed under the name Salmo salar (Atlantic salmon). It matches the Rfam family "tRNA". From Rfam's summary of the family: Transfer RNA (tRNA) molecules are approximately 80 nucleotides in length. Their secondary structure includes four short double-helical elements and three loops (D, anti-codon, and T loops). Lineage: Eukaryota; Metazoa; Chordata; Actinopteri; Salmoniformes; Salmonidae. The record is from Rfam by way of RNAcentral.